GCUUCAUUUGGACGCCUGCGUGGGGGACUCCAAGUUGGAAGGCCAGUGAGGGUGUUUCAGGGUUGAUGGGGAUCUCAGAUGUCACCAGGGCUUUGACUGCCGGAUAAUUAGGCCCCAAGCGACGGCUGGCUUCUUCUCCAGCCCCUUAGCCCCGUGGCAGCUUCGUCAUUUUCAUUCCUCGGUAGAAGAGACGGCGGCUGGCCGUGAUCUUCCCGCUGGACGGGCCCUCAUCAGAGCAGGACGAGGCCGCCCUUGUGAAGGAACCCCACGCAGAAUGAAGCCAUGA
This 286-nucleotide long non-coding RNA is filed under the name Mustela putorius furo (domestic ferret). Its description in RNAcentral is "lncRNA (ENSMPUG00000030790.1)". Lineage: Eukaryota; Metazoa; Chordata; Mammalia; Carnivora; Mustelidae. The record is from RNAcentral.